RNAcentral lists this ribosomal RNA (587 nucleotides) under uncultured bacterium. RNAcentral describes it as "partial 16S ribosomal RNA". It matches the Rfam family "Bacterial small subunit ribosomal RNA", at positions 355 to 1375 of the family's 1533-position model. The record is from RNAcentral.
UGGGGAAUUUUGGACAAUGGGCGAAAGCCUGAUCCAGCAAUGCCGCGUGUGUGAAGAAGGCCUUCGGGUUGUAAAGCACUUUUGUCCGGAAAGAAAUCCUUGGCUCUAAUACAGUCGGGGGAUGACGGUACCGGAAGAAUAAGCACCGGCUAACUACGUGCCAGCAGCCGCGGUAAUACGUAGGGUGCAAGCGUUAAUCGGAAUUACUGGGCGUAAAGCGUGCGCAGGCGGUUUGCUAAGACCGAUGUGAAAUCCCCGGGCUCAACCUGGGAACUGCAUUGGUGACUGGCAGGCUAGAGUAUGGCAGAGGGGGGUAGAAUUCCACGUGUAGCAGUGAAAUGCGUAGAGAUGUGGAGGAAUACCGAUGGCGAAGGCAGCCCCCUGGGCCAAUACUGACGCUCAUGCACGAAAGCGUGGGGGAGCAAACAGGAUUAGAUACCCUGGUAGUCCACGCCCUAAAACGAUGUCAACUAGUUGUUGGGGAUUCAUUUUCUAGUAACGUAGCUAACGCGUGAAGUUGACCGCCUGGGGAGUACGGUCGGCAAGAUUAAAACUCAAAUGAAUUGACGGGGUCAUAGCUGUUUCCU